GUGGGAGAUAGGUACAUUAGGAAUGAUCCCAAGACCUGCAAUGAGGUAAUGUUAGAUAUUGACUCUAAGAAAUAGAUAGAAGCGAUGAAGUCAGAAAUUGACUCCAUGUAUUCCAACCAGAUUUGGUCCUUUGUAGAUCGACUUGAAAGUAUUAUACCUAUAGAAUGUAAAUGGAUUUAUAAAAGAAAAAUUAGGUUGGA
Molecule: long non-coding RNA, 200 nt
Filed under: Elaeis guineensis (African oil palm)
Lineage: Eukaryota; Viridiplantae; Streptophyta; Magnoliopsida; Arecales; Arecaceae
Description: long non-coding RNA (EGUI_LNC050132)
Source: RNAcentral